Long non-coding RNA from Neofelis nebulosa (Clouded leopard), 2370 nucleotides. RefSeq lists it as uncharacterized. The record is from RefSeq and is a predicted model, not a curated record. NCBI's taxonomy places the organism in Eukaryota, Metazoa, Chordata, Mammalia, Carnivora, Felidae. The transcript has 2 exons.
GGCAAACUGCAAAAGAGAAGCAAAUGUUUCAGAUUAUCUAGACAACUGGAACAGACAAACAUCAAUCUAUAUAACAAACAUUUAUUGAGUAUUUGCUCUGUUGGGAGCUUUAUGCAAAACACUCUGAGGAUAUAAAAGAGGUGCACAAUUCUUAUUUUUGGGGAACAUAUGCAUUAGUUGGGGAAGGGAGAGAGAAUGAAGUAACAUUCAUUACUGAAUGAAUUUUAUAAUUAUACAAUUUUAAUAAUAUUCAGUCCUCAUACCAAAUUGAUGAACUAGGUAUUUUAUCCUCUUCAUUUUGCGUAUGAGGCUCAGAGAAAGUAGAAAAGUUGCCUAAAGUCACAGAGCUGCAAAGAGAUGAAGCUGGGAUUGAAAUUUGGGUCCCUAACUCUAAACACUCCAGAGAUGGCAAGUGAUAAAGCUGGACAGGUAACAUGGGGCCAAGUCUUGAAAGUUCAAAUGCUAGGAAAGGAAUGGUAGCUUUUUUCUGCAGGCAGUAUGGAGUCAUAAGAAUUUAAGCAGCAGGUUAUGAAUAAAGCUGCUCUUUAGGAAGAUUUUGAUGCUCAUGGUAUGCAGGAUAGACAGACCCAGUCUCUCCAGGACUUCCUAUUCAUCUAAGAACUCAACUCACUGGACCCUUUACCUAUGAGAAACCAGAAUAACUCUAUGAAGAAGAGGUGAGAUACACAUACUUACAAUGUGAGGGUUGAAAAGCCUUUGGCAAACAUCUAGCACCUCCUGGAACACCUUGCUCCCACAGUUUAUAAGGAAGAAACUGAAGCCCAGUGAGGUCACUUGCCCAAAGUCACAUAAUACUUAAGCUGGAUUCAUAACCAAGGCUCCUUUAUUCCUAAUAUAUAACUCUUCCUACUCUUUCACGUAGCUACCUUUUAGACUCUGCAAAGACCAUGCUCUUCCCACAGGAAACACACAGGACUUUUCUGCUCCAUCCAUUCAUACACCCUACCCACACACCUAUCCCCAGUGCACUGGCAGUAGGGGUAAUCCAGCAUCUUCCCUCUAGUGCUACUAGGUUAGUUUAUACUCUAAGCCACUGAUACCUGGAACUGCUAGAAGGAAAAGUUGCCAGAUCAAACGUGCCUUCCAUUUAUCAGAGAAAGAAAAGCUAGAACAUCUUUCAAAAGCUCAGGUCCUAUUCUGUAUAAGGGAUGUUGGUGUAUGCACUAGUGAGGAUGGUGGGGAGGCGGGAGAGGGGAAUGAGGGGAGGAGUAAAAGCUCGAACAGGGUUUUUAGAAAACUGGAGUCUUCUGGUUCUUGUUCUGCCUUGAACUUGCUGGGUGCCCUUGAACAAAUAAUUUCUCCUUUCCAGGCCUCAUUUUCUUCAUAUAUAAAAUGAAAGGAAUGAAUUUGAUCAGUUCUUCAAACUUUUUACCAUAAAGGAAUAUCAUUUUAUUAUAUUUCCUCCCAAACUCCAUCAUCAAACUGCAGUUUAAGUGAUCAUAUGUUGUGGUCCUUUUGUUGGCAAAGACAGAAUUUUCCUAUUAUUUUUGAAAUGCUGGAAAAUGUUGGAAUUUCUGGGUCAUUCCCCUUUGUGACACGGCUAGUGACUCUGGAUCUUGAAGUCCUCCAGGACUGAAACUAUGAGUCAGGGACUCUCAGGCCCCCAAGAUUUUAUUAUUGAAAGACACUUUACAGAGUCUCUGGACCAGACAUCUCAUUUUACACAUGAAGAGACUGAGGCUAGAGAAGCAAAGGAAAGCAUAGGCCCCCAGAUGAUACCUGGAGUUGGGACAGAACCCAGGCUGGACUCCUGUUCUGCCUCUGGAUACCUUCCUGAGCUCCCAACGCUCUCCAGCAUCGCCAGCAAACUGAUGCCAGCUCUGCCUAACAACCUCUGUCCUGCUGCAGCCCACGCAUUGGCAUGGCACCAAGGCAUGUGGGGUUUUAUCUUUCCAGCAUGUGGGAGAGUUACACAGACACCACAGCGAUGCCAGGAAGGCCCACGGCGGAAUCCCAGAGUCCUGGAACAGCAAGACUAAAAUGGCAGCCAGUUCCCAGGCACUAGUUAGAUCCCUGGGAGCUCACCCCACCCUCCUCCACUUUAUCUCUGGCAAUCCCUGUCUGCUCAAGGUACUGGGUUUGGCAUCUAACCCCUGCCUCCUUGGAAACUUAGAUGAAGUCACAAGCACACAGUUACCAAUUAAACAAAUGUAAUAUCUGAUAAGGGUCUAUGCAUAGACAAUGGAUUUAGGUGCUGGGGUGAUGUUGGCAAUGAAUAGGAAGAUAAUGUUCAUUUUACCACUUCUUCAGAGAAUUGGGAAAGAUUUUUUGGAAGAAAUGAGAUUUCAAGAUAAGUCUGAAUUUAGUAAGUUAUCCUUAGCACUUCUGGAAAUAAAUGCUUUAAUUCAA